CGGACGGGUGAGUAACGCGUGGAUAACCUGCCUCACACAGGGGGAUAACAGUUAGAAAUGACUGCUAAUACCGCAUAAGCGCACGGUACCGCAUGGUACAGUGUGAAAAACUCCGGUGGUGUGAGAUGGAUCCGCGUCUGAUUAGGUAGUUGGUGAGGUAACGGCCUACCAAGCCGACGAUCAGUAGCCGACCUGAGAGGGUGACCGGCCACAUUGGGACUGAGACACGGUCCAA
RNAcentral lists this ribosomal RNA (235 nucleotides) under uncultured bacterium. RNAcentral describes it as "partial 16S ribosomal RNA". It matches the Rfam family "Bacterial small subunit ribosomal RNA", at positions 99 to 334 of the family's 1533-position model. The record is from RNAcentral.